Non-coding RNA from Heterocephalus glaber (naked mole-rat), 1287 nucleotides. NCBI's taxonomy places the organism in Eukaryota, Metazoa, Chordata, Mammalia, Rodentia, Bathyergidae. The record is from RefSeq and is a predicted model, not a curated record.
ACGACUUAAUUCUCUUAGUUAACAAACUUCUUGUGAUCUAUUCUUACAACUAGACAGCUGAAUUCUACCAUUUUCCACAAUAAAGAGGGAAGUACUUCUGAGUAUGAAGUGGGGAUAUUCCCCUUUUUUAUGAUGCCUGGAAGGCAAUUAUUGCAGGAUGGAGAGGAGAGAAACAGGAAGGGGCCAACUCUGAGGGAGGAGAAGGGUGGAUAUGUGACAAGCUUGUUCUGCCCUCUUUGGGGUUUUUAUAUCUUUCAAUCCACUAAGGCUUAAUAUGCUUUAUAUUAAAUUAACUCUGGACAUUUUUGUGAACCAAAGACCAAGUCAUUGAAACCCCUUCAUACUCUUGAUCAGCUCCCUGAUUAUCCCAUAUCUGGUUAAUAUGGGAACACAUUAUCAAAGAGUGCAUCAAAAUAAGUGAUGUAUGCUGGUGUUUAUAAAAAGUUGUAGGGUCUUUUUUAUGAACCUAAAUUUAUUUAAAAUAAAAAAUCAAGAGGUUUGUGUGUAAUGUGAUCUGUGCUGUAUAUGCCCAGAUAUUUCCAAAUCCUUAAUGCUUCCUCUCAUCAAUAUCCAAAUAGCAUAGACUGAAAACCUAUGUGCUACAUUGUAGGAAGAUCACCAAGCCAUGCUCUGAAGAUUCCAGGGUAGAGAACUGUCCAGGGUAGACAGGUGAGUCCAUGUCACAGGCUGCCUAUCUGUGGUUGCCAGGCAGCAAGGUGUGUGUACCUGUGGAAAAGUGUCAAACUGGGAUUUUCACCCACAUUAUACUUUGCCUAACAGGUUUUGCAUAUUUUUCCCUGGGUAUCAGACAGGUUAUAAUACACCCACACCACUCUAGGAUUUAUGAGCCAGAGUUCCUGUGACAGUGAAAUGGAGCAAGAAUUGACUGAUAUAGAUGCAAGGAAUGCAGACCUUCUUGAUUCAAAUGACAAAGAAAACAGCAAUAUGUCAGGAUCUACAGCACCGUGUGAAUCUUACAAGGAUGGCAGCCUAAAGGCCCUGGCAGGGACCGAGGUGGUGAGCCAAGUCUUCAACUGUGUUGAGAAACCAAACAAACCUGGCGACCACACACUUCUAGUCCCUGCAGGUGCAAAGUAACCACUGUGAUUCAACCUUCAUGAGCCUCUAGAGAAGGGGAGCAGCCAGUGUCCCAUAGGAGAGCCCAGGAGUGUGUAUGAAGACUCCAACAGCUGGAAAAGGGCUAGGGAGAGAUUGCUCCAGAAUACUGGGAAGGGAACAAAGUACUCUGAUUUGUCAUGUGACUGUUCAUCAAACUGCUAAUAUUUG